RNAcentral lists this ribosomal RNA (435 nucleotides) under uncultured bacterium. RNAcentral's name for it is "partial 16S ribosomal RNA". It matches the Rfam family "Bacterial small subunit ribosomal RNA", at positions 28 to 507 of the family's 1533-position model. The record is from RNAcentral.
GAUGAACGCUGGCGGUAUGCUUAACACAUGCAAGUCGAACGGACUCUUCGGAGUUAGUGGCGGACGGGUGAGUAACGCGUGAGAAUCUGGCUUUGGGUUCGGGACAACCACUGGAAACGGUGGCUAAUACCGGAUGUGCCGAGAGGUAAAAGAGAAAUUGCCUGAAGAUGAGCUCGCGUCUGAUUAGCUAGUUGGUGAGGUAAAGGCUCACCAAGGCAGCGAUCAGUAGCUGGUCUGAGAGGAGGACCAGCCACACUGGGACUGAGACGCGGCCCAGACUCCUACGGGAGGCAGCAGUGGGGAAUUGUCCGCAAUUGGCGAAAGCCUGACGAAGCAAUACCGCGUGAGGGAAGAAGGCUCUUGGGUUGUAAACCUCUUUUCUUAGGGAAGAACAAAAUGACGGUACCUAAGGAAUCAGCAUCGGCUAACUCCGUG